CUCCUCGCCAUCACGUUUCUCUUCUCUCCGCAGAUUGUGUGUUUGCAUAAAGCCGAACUAUCGCCGGAGAUUGGCCGGAACAGAGUGAAUCGGAAAUACAGAAGCGUCUCCUCUGGACAGGAAUGGGAUUCAUUUCCCUUCAGGAGAGAGUCACACCGAGGGAUCAGAGCGAGGACAUCUUUGCAUUAUCUUUGUCUGUAGGUGUCCCUUCGUUGUUACCAAACAAACACGUCAACUCCAUUGUCGACAGGAGUUCAGGGUAAAUAAAUCUGCAUUGGUUCAUGUUUGGAAAGAAGAAGAAGAAG
Long non-coding RNA from Gasterosteus aculeatus aculeatus (three-spined stickleback), 305 nucleotides. The record is from Ensembl. NCBI's taxonomy places the organism in Eukaryota, Metazoa, Chordata, Actinopteri, Perciformes, Gasterosteidae.